Long non-coding RNA from Gorilla gorilla gorilla (western lowland gorilla), 2128 nucleotides. RefSeq lists it as uncharacterized. The transcript has 4 exons. NCBI's taxonomy places the organism in Eukaryota, Metazoa, Chordata, Mammalia, Primates, Hominidae. The record is from RefSeq and is a predicted model, not a curated record.
CAUGAUAGGCCCCCGUGAACCCAAAUCUGUGGCUUGAUGGACUCCAGGGAAGAAUGUAUAGCUAGUCCCAUCCUUGUCUGAUCUUGGCAGAUGCUUCAGUGAGGUUAUAGAAAGCUAAUUCCACUUCCCAGUGCUCCAUUUGAACAUGUGCUCCUAUGCUCAGCUGGUUUUAGGUGUGGCUUUGGUUUCUGAGCAGAAACUCUCUUUCCAUGAAAUAAUGACAUCCUUAAAGUGUUGUGCUUUGCUUGUCGUUCAGAGAAGACAGCACUUCCGGGAAAUGCACUAUACAAUAUGGAUGGAUUCCCUGUCCAGAGAGGAAACCAGGCGCACCCUUCACUACAGGAAAGAACUUGCUCCCUGACCUGCCAGCCAGGUGGAAUUUCAUUUCUUUGUGCUCUCGGCAUCUGGUGCUUUGAAGAACUGGCUUCAUUAGCCACUAACAGAGAUGCACUUGUCGAAACAUCAGCAACUGACUUUUUUGUGUGUGCUUAAGAGAUCACAGAUAUUUUUGUACUGGUGCUAUCAGAGGUUGGAAGGAUUGCUAUAGCUACAUGUUCUUGCCCCUCUCUCUAAGGUCUAUGGCAAUGAGUAGCAAUGAUAAUAAUUAUGAUAGUGAUAAUAGCAAACCAUUCACUAUACGUUUUGUGCUGGGCACUGUAGUAAGUUCAUUUUAUGUUCAAAACAACCUUCUGAAGUAUAUGUCAUUUAGGAUUCGUUUGACUGCAAGUGGCAGAAACCCAAUUUCAAUGGUUUAACCAAUGGAGGGAUUUAUUUUUCUCAUGUAAUAGGAAGUCCAGCUGUAAGCACUUCAGAGUGAGUAUGCAGGCCACAUGGUGCCAUCAAGAACCCAGUCUCUUUUGCUGGAGGCUUGCUUCCUCAUGUAUGCAGCAUAGCUGUUCUAUUUUGUGCUUCACAACUAAUUUUUAGGCAGGAAGUUUUUGAAAGAAGGGAGAAGCUAAGUAGCACAAACUGACAAGGUGAAUGUAAGCUGGAUGUGUGCCCUCUAACCAGCUUUCUCAGAAACUCCAGCUGGUACCUCCACUUGCAGCUCCUUGUCCAGAACUGUGUUGCAUGACCACAUCUAGUUGCAAGGAAGUUGGGUAAUCCAAGAGCAUUUAAGUGAGUCCCUUGUUAGUAAGAAAGAAAGGAGAACUAGCUAUUGGUUCCAUAACCAGUCAUGCCUAGCUUAAGUAGUUAAUGUUUGUUCAAAAUUUACAGACAAAGAAAGUGAAAUUGGAGAAGUUAAGUAUUUACCAAAGGCUAUCUAGCUAGGGAGUGAUGGAGCCCAGAUCUGAAUCCAGCAGGUGCUGACAGCUGAGCCAUUCCACGCACCUUCGGAGCAAAGCACUGCCGGAAACCAGGGCCAAGUUCAGAGCCUGAAAUUUUUUUCAAAGGCUACAAGGAGAAACCUGGAGGGCCUGAUCACGCAUUACAUAAGCCGACAUACCACAGAGUACAAACCAUGCUUUAGUGACAUUGAUCAGGCCACAGAUGACUGAGUUAUGAGAGGCCAUGAGCUUUCCAAGAUCAGUUUCCUAAACCAGCUGCUUCUCAUCAGUCCGGUCCCCACUGGCCAGAGCUAUUGACAUCCUGGAAGAUAAUCCUAUAUUCCUACAAAGCGAAACCAGAUGUCUACAAGAGCCCUGCUUCGGAUACCUAUAUCGUUUUGGGGGAAGCCAAGAUUGAAGAUUUAUCUCAGCAAGCACAAGUAGCAACUGCUGCGAAAUUCAAAGUUCAGGGUGAAGCUGUCUUAAACGUUCAAGAAAACACACAGACUCCAACUAUACAAAAGGAGAGUGAAGAGGAUGAGGUUGAUGAAACAGGUGUAGAAGUUAAGGACAUAGAAUUUGUCAUGUCACAAGGGAAUGUGUCCAGAGCAAAGGCAGUUGGAGCCUGGAAGAACAAAGUAAUAAUAUUGUAAAUGCUAUUAUGGAAUUAACAGUGUAACCAUCUGAAAGCAACUUUUAUUGGUGUCUCAAAUGAAUGACUGCAGCUUGGUUUGAAAUUUGUACUACUUCUAUCAUAAAUAAAGUUAUGGCUUCUUGUUGGAUGAAAAAAAGAAAAGAGUGAAUUGUUAUUUUUGAUAUUUUGGUUCAGUCUGUAUACCAUGUGUCAUUUUGCCUUUGCC